Molecule: ribosomal RNA, 253 nt
Filed under: uncultured bacterium
Lineage: Bacteria
Description: partial 16S ribosomal RNA
Rfam family: Bacterial small subunit ribosomal RNA
Source: RNAcentral
UACGUAGGGUGCGAGCGUUGUCCGGAAUUACUGGGCGUAAAGCGCACGUAGGCGGCUUUGUAAGUUAGAGGUGAAAGCCCAGGGCUUAACCCUGGAAUUGCCUUUAAGACUGCAUCGCUAGAAUCGUGGAGAGGUGAGUGGAAUUCAUGGUGUAGCAGUGAAAUGCGUAGAGAUCAUGAGGAAGACCAGUGGCGAAGGCGGGUCUCUGGACAGUUCCUGACACUGAGGCACGAAGGCCAGGGGAGCAAACAGG